This is a long non-coding RNA of Bos grunniens (domestic yak), 2620 nucleotides long. The record is from Ensembl. NCBI's taxonomy places the organism in Eukaryota, Metazoa, Chordata, Mammalia, Artiodactyla, Bovidae.
ACGGAUUGGGUUUGCCAAAUGCCUAAUUACCAGGCCAGGAAUGGCCAGGAAUAGUGCCAGCGGGCCACACGGGUGUCCCAGCCAGCCUCUCUUCACCCCGUGUCUUGAAUAGGACGUCUCUUGUAAUUACCGCCUCGUCGUUCAGCCCUGGACCCUUCUCUCCUUCCUUCCUCGGAGCCACACGUCACUCCGAGUCCCUGCCCGCUCCACCCUCCCCCACCCUGCCUCUCAGGGUGACGCCGCCCGUGGAGGUUUAAUGAGCGUGGGCCUGGCCCCUCCCCAAGCCUCAAAAUCGCCUCUGCUGUGGAUGGAAAGGAAGGGGGAGGAAGGAGGGAGGCAGUCAGAGUGGGGUUUGCCUCGCAGCAGCCCCAGCGCCUGCUUCUCACCUCUCACCAAGGUGCUGGGCCAUGCUACCCUCUGUGGUCAUCUGCUACCUGAUGGAUCUCGCGCUUGUUCUCUUACACUCCCCUGCCCCCUCACCCCAGUGUGCUUCCCAGGUCCACCAGCCAGCUGUGAACAGCUGGCCCAGACCUGUUGUUGUGGCUUGCAGCUUAUGUGCCAUUCCCCAGGGGCUGCUGAAAUCAGAGAUGAAUCCCACUGCAAGAGAGCUGCCCUUCCUGUGGGUGGAGGAUGGGGAAAGGGGUCCUCCAGCCGCCCCACCUCUGACACUUCUGGUCCACCACCAUCUCCGGAACCGCCAGCAGGGCUCCUUGAACUCUCCAGGAGAGGCCACCAUCGCCAGGAGGUUUGGAGGACCCUUCCUCCCCAUCCUUGGAGACGGCUUUUGGAGGAGCAGCUUGGCCAGAAGACAGGGUGCUUUUCUACCUUUGGCUCCGUGGGCAGAGUUGGUCUUUCUGUUGGGAAUGGGGAAGCAGGGAACAGCUCCCUGGGAAUCUCUUUCAGCAAAAUUAGAAGGUGAGCUGCUGGGGGUGGGCUGCCUAGACCUUCCCCACCUCCUUUCUCAUGCUUCUUUCUCUUUACCCUCUCCAACCCCUCCCAGUCCCAUUUCCCACUUCUUAGGGCCUGAUUCUCAGCUAGCUGCCACGUACUGCCAAAUGCUAGCCACUAACAGUUCACAGGGCUGUCCCUUCCUGGGGGCACUUUGGAUUUUGUUUCAAUAAAAUUGACUCUGGGGACUUGAGAAUCUUCAAAAAGCCAAUUUAAGGUAUUGCUCAGAGGGUCCAGGUGGUUGCAUGAGGUCAUACGCAGGCCUCUGGAAACAACCAAGGCAUGUACAUAAGUGGGACAAUCACAUCCCGACGUCCUUUUUGAAUAGACACAGGUUGGUGGGUGUGGAACACUGAGAAGUGUCAGCUGGACCCUGCCCAGGAAGCCGGGGGUAAAUGAGAGUGUCUGUCCUGGGUGCUCUAGGGAGACACACAUGUGAGUAGUUAGCAGUCAGGAUGGUCGGCAGCAGCUGAAUGUUAGGCACUGAGUUACCACUCCUAACCUGCGGAAGAGGAGCCCAGAGUGAAGGCCUCGUUCCUUGGAGGACCCAAGAGCUCUGGACUGUGAGAGUUACGGGCACUCCGAAUCCUAGCCCUGCCUCUCUACUUGUAAUCUCUCUGAACCAGAGUUUCCUCUCUGUAAAGGGGGAGGGUAUUGAUAGUGCUGUGGGAACCCCCAUGUUUUAUCUCCUUUCCCUUUUGAGAAGGCCUGGGGUGUGAGGAACCGGACAUUCAAAACUCUUGGCACUGGGUCUCCCAGCAACAACUUCUGCCUGAGGAAACAACACAGGCCAUGGUACCUGGGGUGUCUCAGUGGUACCUGCAUUUUUCUGAGCAGUUGAUGCGGCUCUUUUCGGUGUAAGUGUCCAGGAGGCAGAUGCUGGGAAUGUUCACAUCAGCUUCAGUCGGCUUUCUGGGUUAUGCUGCCCUGAGAGAAGCAUGUGUCUCUGCUUGCCUCUCAUGCCUAGGCGCUUCCGUCACAUUUUUCAUCUUCCAGUAACACUUCGAAAUCUCCUUCAUUUGUUUGAAUUCCCACCUCUUCACCCACAUGGCAAUUAGAGAGGUUGGUGAUUGCCAGGUGCUUAUUAAGUGGAGUCAUAAGUAGUCCUGCUUCUCUGGGCAGCUGUAAAUGCCUUAAAAGCAUGCAGAAAGCUUCUUAGUUUUGUUUUGUUUUGUUUUGUUUUUAAUUGAGAAAAACAAUAAGGGCCACUUCACUGGGUUCUAACAGGGUCUGUUGGGGAAUUCUGCAAUUCCGGCUGAGUCUAGGCUGUCUUGGUCCAAACUGGUUGCAUGAGGUCAUACGAGGCCUCUGGAAACAACCAAGGCAUGUACAUAAGUGGGACAAUCACAUCCCGACGUCCUUUUGAAUAGACACAGGUUGGUGGGUGUGGAACACUGAGAAGUGUCAGCUGGACCCUGCCCAGGAAGCCGGGGUAAAUGAGAGUGUCUGUCCUGGGUGCUCUAGGGAGACACAUGUGAGUAGUUAGCAGUCAGGAUGGUCGGCAGCAGCUGAAUGUUAGGCACUGAGUUACCACUCUAACCUGCGGAAGAGGAGCCCAGAGUGAAGGCCUCGUUCCUUGGAGGACCCAAGAGCUCUGGACUGUGAGAGUUACGGGCACUCCGAAUCCUAGCCCUGCCUCUCUACUUGUAAUCUCUCUGAACCAGAGUUUCCU